This 405-nucleotide ribosomal RNA is filed under the name uncultured Clostridia bacterium. Its description in RNAcentral is "partial 16S ribosomal RNA". It matches the Rfam family "Bacterial small subunit ribosomal RNA", at positions 355 to 774 of the family's 1533-position model. Lineage: Bacteria; Bacillati; Bacillota; Clostridia. The record is from RNAcentral.
UGGGGAAUAUUGCGCAAUGGAGGAAACUCUGACGCAGCAACGCCGCGUGAAGGAUGAAGGCCCUCGGGUUGUAAACUUUUGUCUUUAGGGAAGAAAAAAAUGACGGUACCUAAGGAGGAAGCUCCGGCUAACUACGUGCCAGCAGCCGCGGUAAUACGUAGGGAGCGAGCGUUGUCCGGAAUUACUGGGUGUAAAGGGUGCGUAGGCGGGAGAUAAAGUCAGGUGUGAAAUACCGCAGCUUAACUGCGGGGCUGCACUUGAAACUUAUCUUCUUGAGUGAAGUAGAGGUAAGUGGAAUUCCCAGUGUAGCGGUGAAAUGCGUAGAUAUUGGGAGGAACACCAGUGGCGAAGGCGACUUACUGGGCUUUAACUGACGCUGAGGCACGAAAGCAUGGGGAGCAAACA